UGGAUGGUCUCCGCAUUCGAUAAAAAUUGAGAUGAUACAAAAAAGAUUAGCAUGCCCUUAUGCAAGGAUGACACACAAAUCGAGAAAUGGUCCAAAUUUUU
Molecule: small nuclear RNA, 101 nt
Filed under: Amborella trichopoda
Lineage: Eukaryota; Viridiplantae; Streptophyta; Magnoliopsida; Amborellales; Amborellaceae
Source: RNAcentral